This 253-nucleotide ribosomal RNA is filed under the name uncultured bacterium. Its description in RNAcentral is "partial 16S ribosomal RNA". It matches the Rfam family "Bacterial small subunit ribosomal RNA", at positions 524 to 776 of the family's 1533-position model. The record is from RNAcentral.
UACGGAGGGCGCAAGCGUUGUUCGGAAUCACUGGGCGUAAAGCGCGUGUAGGCGGCUUGGCAAGUCGGGUGUGAAAUCCCGAGGCUCAACCUCGGAACUGCACUCGAAACUGCCUGGCUCGAGUCCCGGAGAGGGUGGCGGAAUUCCCGGUGUAGGGGUGAAAUCCGUAGAUAUCGGGAGGAACACCAGUGGCGAAGGCGGCCACCUGUACGGUGACUGACGCUGAGACGCGAAAGCGUGGGGAGCAAACAGG